GGAGUUCUAAUGUCACUAUGGCAACAAGGGACAUGGAUUUGGGGCUCUGCAAAGAGGGGAGCCGAAUGUGAGACUGUUGCAUAAAGUGAGGUCUCUCAAAGGGAACAGAAGCAGAAAGGUUUCCCACUAGCACAGAUGAGUGUGGGCUCUCGAACUCAGCCAGAAAAGCUCCUAUGAAACCCAAGAGAGCCCCUACACAGGGAAGGAGAAGCAAGCACUUAAGGUAGGCUGAAGCCAGCAGUUAAUGCCUGCAAGUUGGUCACCAUGGAAACAACAACAGAAGAAAAUCUCCCUCUACUACCUCAUUCUUUAAUAUCUGAAAUUUUAAAUUUACAAAAUUAAGAUACAAAGAAUCAAUCAUGAAGUUGAAGUUUAUAUGAGUGCUUUCUGCUGCUGCGUGUUGCUCAAGGUACAGUAAAACCUUAACAUCGGGUUGAUGACUGUAACUUUAAAAA
Long non-coding RNA from Symphalangus syndactylus (siamang), 455 nucleotides. RefSeq lists it as uncharacterized. Lineage: Eukaryota; Metazoa; Chordata; Mammalia; Primates; Hylobatidae. The record is from RefSeq and is a predicted model, not a curated record.